UCUCCGUAGGUGAACCUGCGGAGGGAUCAUUACAGAGUUCAUGCCCUACCGGGUAGAUCUCCCACCCUAUGUUAUUAUUACUUUGUUGCUUUGGCGGGCCGUUAGGCUCCGGCCCGACUACCGGCCCCGGCUGGUAAGCGCCCGCCAGAGGACCCAAAACCCUGAAUAUUAGUGUCGUCUGAGUACUAUAUAAUAGUUAAAACUUUCAACAACAGAUCUCUUGGUUCUG
RNAcentral lists this unclassified non-coding RNA (229 nucleotides) under plant metagenome. Its description in RNAcentral is "partial contains small subunit ribosomal RNA, internal transcribed spacer 1, and 5.8S ribosomal RNA". The record is from RNAcentral.